Long non-coding RNA from Gigantopelta aegis, 138 nucleotides. RefSeq lists it as uncharacterized. The transcript has 2 exons. NCBI's taxonomy places the organism in Eukaryota, Metazoa, Mollusca, Gastropoda, Neomphalida, Peltospiridae. The record is from RefSeq and is a predicted model, not a curated record.
AGCUUUUUAGCAUAUUAGUUUAGUCAAGACUAUCCCACAUAAAUGGAACAUGUCUAUCAGACAGCAUGUUGAAGACGUAUAUAAAUUGCAUGGAAGCCGCAGGAUGCCACGGCAUUGAUGUGAAUUUCGCCAAAGCAA